Molecule: ribosomal RNA, 472 nt
Filed under: uncultured bacterium
Lineage: Bacteria
Description: bacterial SSU rRNA
Rfam family: Bacterial small subunit ribosomal RNA
Source: RNAcentral
UGGGGAAUUUUGGACAAUGGGCGCAAGCCUGAUCCAGCAAUGCCGCGUGCAGGAUGAAGGCCUUCGGGUUGUAAACUGCUUUUGUACGGAACGAAACGGCUCCUAUUAAUACUGGGGGCUAAUGACGGUACCGUAAAAAUAAGCACCGGCUAACUACGUGCCAGCAGCCGCGGUAAUACGUAGGGUGCGAGCGUUAAUCGGAAUUACUGGGCGUAAAGCGUGCGCAGGCGGUUAUAUAAGACAGAUGUGAAAUCCCCGGGCUCAACCUGGGACCUGCAUAUGUGACUGUAUAGCUAGAGUACGGUAGAGGGGGAUGGAAUUCCGCGUGUAGCAGUGAAAUGCGUAGAUAUGCGGAGGAACACCGAUGGCGAAGGCAAUCCCCUGGACCUGUACUGACGCUCAUGCACGAAAGCGUGGGGAGCAAACAGGAUUAGAUACCCUCGUAGUCCCUGAGCGGGCUGGCAAGGCGCAU